This 343-nucleotide unclassified non-coding RNA is filed under the name Hevea brasiliensis (rubber tree). Lineage: Eukaryota; Viridiplantae; Streptophyta; Magnoliopsida; Malpighiales; Euphorbiaceae. The record is from RNAcentral.
AAAAGUUUAAGACACUAAUAUAUUGAAACUUGAAUACUCUUUUAAUGUUUCAAAAAUAAAAUCAAGCAAUUAUAAAAAAACUACUUUUCAAGUUUCAUCAAAAGUAGCAUAAUAAUUUUCUUCAUCUUCUUCUGCACCUUCAUCCUCUUGAUGCUCACUUUCAAAAUUAAUAUAUUCGUCAUCCUUCUCAUCUCUAAUACUAAAGGAGUAUUGGUUCUCAAGUUAGUAGAUGAUGUUUUUUCUUUUUCCCUUUAGCAUAGAUAUUGAAAUAGGUGUAUAUGUAACAAUUUUUCUGAAAAAGAUAAAAAGAGAGUAGUAUUUGUUGAAAAUGGAAAUAUGGGAG